Molecule: ribosomal RNA, 1261 nt
Filed under: Epilithonimonas lactis
Lineage: Bacteria; Pseudomonadati; Bacteroidota; Flavobacteriia; Flavobacteriales; Weeksellaceae
Description: bacterial SSU rRNA
Rfam family: Bacterial small subunit ribosomal RNA
Source: RNAcentral
GGCUCACCAAGUCAAUGAUCUUUAGGGGGCCUGAGAGGGUGAUCCCCCACACUGGUACUGAGACACGGACCAGACUCCUACGGGAGGCAGCAGUGAGGAAUAUUGGACAAUGGGUGAGAGCCUGAUCCAGCCAUCCCGCGUGAAGGACUAAGGCCCUAUGGGUUGUAAACUUCUUUUAUACUGGGAUAAACCUACUUACGUGUAAGUAGCUGAAGGUACAGUAUGAAUAAGCACCGGCUAACUCCGUGCCAGCAGCCGCGGUAAUACGGAGGGUGCAAGCGUUAUCCGGAUUUAUUGGGUUUAAAGGGUCCGUAGGCGGAUCUGUAAGUCAGUGGUGAAAUCUCAUAGCUUAACUAUGAAACUGCCAUUGAUACUGCAGGUCUUGAGUGAGAUUGAGGUAGCUGGAAUAAGUAGUGUAGCGGUGAAAUGCAUAGAUAUUACUUAGAACACCAAUUGCGAAGGCAGGUUACCAAGUCUUAACUGACGCUGAUGGACGAAAGCGUGGGGAGCGAACAGGAUUAGAUACCCUGGUAGUCCACGCCGUAAACGAUGCUAACUCGUUUUUGGGGCCUUGCGCUUCAGAGACUAAGCGAAAGUGAUAAGUUAGCCACCUGGGGAGUACGUUCGCAAGAAUGAAACUCAAAGGAAUUGACGGGGGCCCGCACAAGCGGUGGAGCAUGUGGUUUAAUUCGAUGAUACGCGAGGAACCUUACCAAGACUUAAAUGGGAAAUGACAGGUUUAGAAAUAGACCCUUCUUCGGACAUUUUUCAAGGUGCUGCAUGGUUGUCGUCAGCUCGUGCCGUGAGGUGUUAGGUUAAGUCCUGCAACGAGCGCAACCCCUGUCACUAGUUGCUAACAUUCAGUUGAGGACUCUAGUGAGACUGCCUACGCAAGUAGAGAGGAAGGUGGGGAUGACGUCAAAUCAUCACGGCCCUUACGUCUUGGGCCACACACGUGCUACAAUGGCCGGUACAGAGGGCAGCUACCAGGUGACUGGAUGCGAAUCUCGAAAGCCGGUCUCAGUUCGGAUUGGAGUCUGCAACUCGACUCUAUGAAGCUGGAAUCGCUAGUAAUCGCGCAUCAGCCAUGGCGCGGUGAAUACGUUCCCGGGCCUUGUACACACCGCCCGUCAAGCCAUGGAAGUCUGGGGUACCUGAAGUCGGUGACCGUAACAGGAGCUGCCUAGGGUAAAACAGGUAACUAGGGCUAAGUCGUAACAAGGUAGCCGUACCGGAAGGUGCGGCUGGAACAUCUCAUUUU